GACGAACGCUGGCGGCGUGCCUAACACAUGCAAGUCGAGCGGAGGUAAUAGUAAUAUUACCUUAGCGGCGGACGGGUGAGUAACGCGUGGGCAACCUACCUUAGACUGGGGGAUAACACUGGGAAACUAGUGCUAAUACCGCAUAAUGUUUCUUCAGCACAUGCUGGAGUCAACAAAGGAGAAAUCCGGUUUAAGAUGGGCCCGCGUCCGAUUAGCUAGUUGGUGAGGUAAUAGCUCACCAAGGCGACGAUCGGUAGCCGAACUGAGAGGUUGAUCGGCCACAUUGGGACUGAGACACGGCCCAGACUCCUACGGGAGGCAGCAGUGGGGAAUAUUGCACAAUGGGGGAAACCCUGAUGCAGCAACGCCGCGUGAAGGAUGAAGGUUUUCGGAUUGUAAACUUCUUUGAUUGGGGACGAAUAAUGACGGUACCCAAAAAACAAGCCACGGCUAACUACGUGCCAGCAGCCGCGGUAAUACGUAGGUGGCGAGCGUUGUCCGGAAUUACUGGGUGUAAAGGGCGUGUAGGCGGGGAUGUAAGUCAGAUGUGAAAUUCCAUGGCUUAACUGUGGCGCUGCAUCUGAAACUAUGUCUCUUGAGUGAUGGAGAGGAAAGCGGAAUCCCUAGUGUAGCGGUGAAAUGCGUAGAUAUUAGGAGGAACACCAGUGGCGAAGGCGGCUUUCUGGACAUUAACUGACGCUGAAGCGCGAAAGCGU
RNAcentral lists this ribosomal RNA (716 nucleotides) under uncultured Acidobacteriota bacterium. RNAcentral's name for it is "bacterial SSU rRNA". It matches the Rfam family "Bacterial small subunit ribosomal RNA", at positions 28 to 762 of the family's 1533-position model. Lineage: Bacteria; Pseudomonadati; Acidobacteriota. The record is from RNAcentral.